CCUCCUUUUAAGGGAGACCAACUGACAUCAAGAUAAGAUAAUAUAUUCUUGAAAGUUCAGUCAUCCUUUUUAAAGGUCGGUCAUGCGAGGAAAAAAGAUCGAAAGCUUUUCAACUAUACUUAUGGUUCGUAAUAUUUUGCGGAAAUUCUCAAGCCAAGCGGGGGCUAUUAGCUCAGGUGGUUAGAGCGCACCCCUGAUAAGGGUGAGGUCCCUGGUUCAAGUCCAGGAUGGCCCAGGUAAUUAAAAGCCAAAAAUAUCAACCCCAAAAAUAAGGGGGUAUAGCUCAGUUGGUAGAGCGCUGCCUUUGCAAGGCAGAUGUCAGCGGUUCGAGUCCGCUUACCUCCACCAGCAGGGUUGAGAGUGAAAGAAAACAAAAAGAAAAGAAUUGAAUUCAGCAACUAGACUUGCUUGUAAGAAUUAACUUGAUAAGUAAAAGUAAUUAAGUUAAAAUAAUCAAGUCAGGAUGCUGGGGUCAAGACUCCAGAAAAACAGAACCUUGAAAACUGCAUAGAAAAAGUACAUCAAAGCCAAAAAGAGUAAUUGUAACUAAAAAGCAAUUAACAAGCUUUGAUGGUGAGAAAAGUUGGAAAAAACUAAUCUUACUAAUCAAAGCACUGACUGUUCAGGAAUUGGCUAAUGAGAUUUAGAGAUUAAAUUCUCAGUGAUUGAAUUAGUCAAAAGUCAGAAAAAAAGCUAGUAACAACAGACCACUGGUUACUAGCUAGCUAAAAAAAACAACAAACAAGUGGUCAAGCUAAAAAGGGCUAACGGUGGAUACCUAGGCACACAGAG
RNAcentral lists this transfer RNA (792 nucleotides) under Vermifilum ionodolium BLCC-M71. RNAcentral's name for it is "partial 16S-23S ribosomal RNA intergenic spacer". The stretch from base 273 to 345 matches the Rfam family "tRNA". Lineage: Bacteria; Bacillati; Cyanobacteriota; Cyanophyceae; Oscillatoriales; Vermifilaceae. The record is from RNAcentral.